This 258-nucleotide ribosomal RNA is filed under the name uncultured bacterium. Its description in RNAcentral is "partial 16S ribosomal RNA". It matches the Rfam family "Bacterial small subunit ribosomal RNA", at positions 793 to 1050 of the family's 1533-position model. The record is from RNAcentral.
GUCCACGCCGUAAACGAUGUCUACUAGCCGUUGGGAGACUUGAUCUUUUAGUGGCGAAGCUAACGCGAUAAGUAGACCGCCUGGGGAGUACGGCCGCAAGGUUAAAACUCAAAUGAAUUGACGGGGGCCCGCACAAGCGGUGGAGCAUGUGGUUUAAUUCGAAGCAACGCGAAGAACCUUACCAACUCUUGACAUCCUGCGAACUUGCUAGAGAUAGCUUGGUGCCUUCGGGAACGCAGAGACAGGUGCUGCAUGGCU